RNAcentral lists this ribosomal RNA (468 nucleotides) under uncultured bacterium. Its description in RNAcentral is "partial 16S ribosomal RNA". It matches the Rfam family "Bacterial small subunit ribosomal RNA", at positions 28 to 507 of the family's 1533-position model. The record is from RNAcentral.
GACGAACGCUGGCGGCGUGCUUAACACAUGCAAGUCGAACGGAAAGGCCCUGCUUUUGUGGGGUGCUCGAGCGGCGAACGGGUGAGUAACACGUGAGUAACCUGCCCUUGACUUUGGGAUAACUUCAGGAAACUGGGGCUAAUACCGGAUAGGAGCUCCUGCUGCAUGGUGGGGGUUGGAAAGUUUCGGCGGUUGGGGUUGGACUCGCGGCUUAUCAGCUUGUUGGUGGGGUAGUGGCUUACCAAGGCUUUGACGGGUAGCCGGCCUGAGAGGGUGACCGGCCACAUUGGGCCUGAGAUACGGCCCAGACUCCUACGGGAGGCAGCAGUGGGGAAUAUUGCACAAUGGGCGGAAGCCUGAUGCAGCAACGCCGCGUGCGGGAUGACGGCCUUCGGGUUGUAAACCGCUUUCGCCUGUGACGAAGCGUGAGUGACGGUAAUGGGUAAAGAAGCACCGGCUAACUACGUG